ACCAGCACUGGACCCUGACCUGGGCCACAACACCAGGCCCAAGCCUCAAACUGCCAGCCAAGAGAUUCUGAAACAGCAGCUCCUAUAGGAGUCUGUACUUCCUGAUCCUCCUGAGGAACCAGCUCCAUUGGCACCAGGUAAGGCCUGGCAGAAUGUGCCAAGACACAAUUCGAGGUGUGGAGCUGCUGAAGAGGAAAACAGGAGUCCUCGGAGCAGCAGAAUCCACAACUCUGCCUCCUUCUCCCCUCUCUCCUGUUCAUCAUCUCAUGCUAGAACAGCCUCAUUACUCAGAGGGGGCAGACAAGAAGCACUGCCUUCAAACACUUCACAACAGAGGAACACUCCUGGCAACGGCUGAGAAUGGGCGUGUCUCCAAAGGGAUGCAUUUGUAGGAAGACAAAUGCCAUCUGGCCAGAACUGCAGUGCAGUACUAGCAGAGCAGCUUUAGAGGAACAGAGCCAAAACAGCCAAGCUGCGAGGAAGGAAAAUGUGCGUAGA
Long non-coding RNA from Hemicordylus capensis (graceful crag lizard), 498 nucleotides. RefSeq lists it as uncharacterized. The record is from RefSeq and is a predicted model, not a curated record. Lineage: Eukaryota; Metazoa; Chordata; Lepidosauria; Squamata; Cordylidae. The transcript is spliced from 3 exons.